This 253-nucleotide ribosomal RNA is filed under the name uncultured bacterium. Its description in RNAcentral is "partial 16S ribosomal RNA". It matches the Rfam family "Bacterial small subunit ribosomal RNA", at positions 524 to 776 of the family's 1533-position model. The record is from RNAcentral.
UACGUAGGUGGCAAGCGUUGUCCGGAAUUAUUGGGCGUAAAGCGCGCGCAGGCGGUUUUGUAAGUCUGAUGUGAAAUCCCCGGGCUCAACCUGGGAAUUGCGUUGGAGACUGCAAGGCUAGAAUCUGGCAGAGGGGGGUAGAAUUCCACGUGUAGCAGUGAAAUGCGUAGAGAUGUGGAGGAAUACCGAUGGCGAAGGCAGCCCCCUGGGAUAACACUGACGCUCAUGCACGAAAGCGUGGGGAGCAAACAGG